Molecule: ribosomal RNA, 505 nt
Filed under: uncultured bacterium
Lineage: Bacteria
Description: bacterial SSU rRNA
Rfam family: Bacterial small subunit ribosomal RNA
Source: RNAcentral
GAUGAACGCUAGCGGGAGGCUUAACACAUGCAAGUCGAGGGGUAAAUGGCAGCAAUGCUAUGAGACCGGCGAACGGGUGCGUAACGCGUAUGCAACUUACCUUUAACUGGAGGAUAACCCCUCGAAAGAGGGACUAAUAUUCCAUAGUAAUCAGAGAAGGCAUCUUUUUUGGUUUAAAGCUCCGGCGGUUAAAGAUGGGCAUGCGUGACAUUAGUUAGUUGGUGAGGUAAUAGCUCACCAAGACGAUGAUGUCUAGGGGUUCUGAGAGGAUGAUCCCCCACACUGGUACUGAGACACGGACCAGACUCCUACGGGAGGCAGCAGUAAGGAAUAUUGGGCAAUGGAGGCAACUCUGACCCAGCCAUGCCGCGUGAAGGAUGACGGCCCUAUGGGUUGUAAACUUCUUUUAUACGGGAAUAAACCCGGGUACGUGUACCCGGCUGAAUGUACCGUAAGAAUAAGGAUCGGCUAACUCCGUGCCAGCAGCCGCGGUAAAACGUGCGUG